RNAcentral lists this ribosomal RNA (497 nucleotides) under uncultured Bacteroidota bacterium. Its description in RNAcentral is "bacterial SSU rRNA". It matches the Rfam family "Bacterial small subunit ribosomal RNA", at positions 162 to 655 of the family's 1533-position model. Lineage: Bacteria; Pseudomonadati; Bacteroidota. The record is from RNAcentral.
AUUAAUACCCCAUAAUAUUAUUGGAUGGCAUCAUUUGAUAAUUAAAACUGCGGUGGUGAAAGAUGGGCAUGCGUCCUAUUAGCUACUUGGAGUGGUAACGGCACCCCAAGGCUACGAUAGGUAGGGGUCCUGAGAGGGAGAUCCCCCACACUGGUACUGAGACAGGGGACCAGACUCCUACGGGAGGCAGCAGUGAGGAAUAUUGGUCAAUGGUCGGAAGACUGAACCAGCCAUGCCGCGUGCAGGAAGAAUGCCUUAUGGGUUGUAAACUGCUUUUAUAUGGGAAGAAUAAGGCGUACGUGUACGUUGAUGACGGUACCAUAUGAAUAAGCAUCGGCUAACUCCGUGCCAGCAGCCGCGGUAAUACGGAGGAUGCGAGCGUUAUUCGGAAUCAUUGGGUUUAAAGGGUCUGUAGGCGGGCUAUUAAGUCAGGGGUGAAAGGUUUCAGCUUAACUGACGAAAUUGCCUUUGAUACUGGUAGUCUUGAAUACUCUGUG